AAAGCAUUCUCUGGUGUUGAAGGCCCUGCAAAGCAGCAUCGCGGUGGCGGAGCGUCGUUUGCGACGCCCAACACACAAAACAAGCGGUGAAUGCUUUGGGGUGGGGUGACUGCGUACCUUUUGUAUAAUGGGUCAGCGACUUAUAUUCUGUAGCAAGGUUAACCGAAUAGGGGAGCCGGAGGGAAACCGAGUCUUAAUUGGGCGUUAAGUUGCAGGGUAUAGACCCGAAACCCGGUGAUCUAGCCAUGGGCAGGUUGAAGGUUGGGUAACACUAACUGGAGGACCGAACCGACUAAUGUUGAAAAAUUAGCGGAUGACCUGUGGCUGGGGGUGAAAGGCCAAUCAAACCGAGAGAUAGCUGGUUCUCCCCGAAAGCUAUUUAGGUAGCGCCUCGUGAAUUCAUCUCCGGGGGUAGAGCACUGUUUCGGCUAGGGGGCCAUCCCGGCUUACCAACCCGAUGCAAACUGCGAAUACCGGAGAAUGUUAUCACGGGAGACACACGGCGGGUGCUAACGUCCGUCGUGAAGAGGGAAACAACCCAGACCGCCAGCUAAGGUCCCAAAGUCAUGGUUAAGUGGGAAACGAUGUGGGAAGGCCCAGACAGCCAGGAUGUUGGCUUAGAAGCAGCCAUCAUUUAAAGAAAGCGUAAUAGCUCACUGGUCGAGUCGGCCUGCGCGGAAGAUGUAACGGGGCUAAACCAUGCACCGAAGCUGCGGCAGCGACGCUGAUGCGUUGUUGGGUAGGGGAGCGUUCUGUAAGCCUGCGAAGGUGACCUGUGAGGGUUGCUGGAGGUAUCAGAAGUGCGAAUGCUGACAUAAGUAACGAUAAAGCGGGUGAAAAGCCCGCUCGCCGGAAGACCAAGGGUUCCUGUCCAACGUUAAUCGGGGCAGGGUGAGUCGACCCCUAAGGCGAGGCCGAAAGGCGUAGUCGAUGGGAAACGGGUUAAUAUUCCCGUACUUGGUGUUACUGCGAAGGGGGGACGGAGAAGGCUAUGUUGGCCGGGCGACGGUUGUCCCGGUUUAAGCGUGUAGGUGUGUGUUCCAGGUAAAUCCGGUUCACUUUAACACUGAGGCGUGAUGACGAGGCACUACGGUGCUGAAGCAACAAAUGCCCUGCUUCCAGGAAAAGCCUCUAAGCAUCAGGUAACAUCAAAUCGUACCCCAAACCGACACAGGUGGUCAGGUAGAGAAUACCAAGGCGCUUGAGAGAACUCGGGUGAAGGAACUAGGCAAAAUGGUGCCGUAACUUCGGGAGAAGGCACGCUGACACGUAGGUGAAGUGAUUUACUCA
Molecule: ribosomal RNA, 1290 nt
Filed under: Salmonella enterica subsp. enterica serovar Typhimurium
Lineage: Bacteria; Pseudomonadati; Pseudomonadota; Gammaproteobacteria; Enterobacterales; Enterobacteriaceae
Description: partial 23S ribosomal RNA
Rfam family: Bacterial large subunit ribosomal RNA
Source: RNAcentral